CUUUUAUUUUGAAACAGGAAACUGGCACAAAACCAGUAAAGGGCUUGUUAGUAACGUUUGUUUUAGGAUACGAUAAAUAGUGCGCCUUAAAGUGAAAAAUAUGUACGUUUCCUUUGCCAAUUAGUACCUGGCUGACAGUGGCACAAGGUCAGACGAUGGAGACUGCCCACAGUUUAAUGAGGACUCACCCCAGACUGCGGUUUGAAGCAGAAGGAGGGCCAGCAGGAGCUGCAGUCCACAAACAGGCAGUAAGCCCUGCAUCCUGCUGCACCUGGAGACAGAGAUGAAGAGAAAGGGAGGGAAUGAUCCAGGGACGAAUGGGAUACAGUAAAUCCAGGAUGUUGGCUGCAGGUUGUAAAGACUCCUCAGUUAAUCAAUGUCAGCGGAGCAGCGGCAGUAAAUCAUGCUGAGGCAAAGGCCAAGGAGCUGCCCUGCUCCUGGCUGUCUUGGAAUAAAGUGGCUACCUGCUGGGGCUACCAGCAGCCCUCCACGUCCAGGCAUGACAACCAAUUUCAGAACAUGUGAGUGGAUGUGAAAGAGCGGGACACUGAGCAUGCAGCAGAACACAGAUUUAACCCAUGAGCUGCAUAAAGCAGAACCAGCCUUUUGAAUGUGAACCAGUCGCAGCAGAGCAUCGAUACAACCCCUUCCCCCAUCCCUUGAGAAAGGAACAAAGAGGCCAGACUACAUCAGGACAGGCUUUGAUCAGUUCAGUUCUAUCACGUUUCUAUCAGUAAUUGACAGACUUUGGAUUCCAAAAGCUUCCCGUGCAACCUGCAAAAUUUAAGCAUGGAAAUACUUUAUGCCCUCCAAUAUAUAAAAGUGCCAUUGUAUUUCUCUUACACAACAGGUGGUUGUUAUGUUAUGUCCUGUGCCAUAACUUUAAAGAAUAUGUAUUUUUUUUAAAGUGUACCAUGCUGUCAUUUGUGUUGCUUUUUCAUUUUGCAUGCAACGCAUGAAGAGUUUCAGGCUAGGUAAAAGGCUGUGCUGCAGCACUAAACACUCCUUUUCCAAUUUCCCAAAAGGCCUUAUCACCUGAGUUAGUGUAAUGAAACUGAUUAGUACCUGCAGCCUAACACUUGACCGGGAAAAUUAGAGCCAGCCAUGAAGUGCUUAUUCAUCUCCGCUGAAUACACCUUCAGA
Oreochromis niloticus (Nile tilapia) is the source of this 1143-nucleotide long non-coding RNA. RefSeq lists it as uncharacterized. The transcript is spliced from 5 exons. NCBI's taxonomy places the organism in Eukaryota, Metazoa, Chordata, Actinopteri, Cichliformes, Cichlidae. The record is from RefSeq and is a predicted model, not a curated record.